Molecule: ribosomal RNA, 253 nt
Filed under: uncultured bacterium
Lineage: Bacteria
Description: partial 16S ribosomal RNA
Rfam family: Bacterial small subunit ribosomal RNA
Source: RNAcentral
GACAGAGGGGGCAAGCGUUGCUCGGAAUCACUGGGCUUAAAGCGUGUGUAGGCGGAUGUCUAAGUGCCUUGUGAAAUCCCACGGCUCAACCGUGGAACUGCUUGGCAUACUGGACGUCUUGAGCCAUCCAGGGGUCGCUGGAACAAACGGUGGAGCGGUGAAAUGCGUAGAUAUCGUUUGGAACGCCAAAGGUGAAGACAGGCGACUGGGGAUGUGCUGACGCUGAGACACGAAAGCCAGGGGAGCAAACGGG